AUACGGAGGGUGCGAGCGUUAAUCGGAAUUACUGGGCGUAAAGGGUCCGUAGGCGGUCUGCUUAGUCUGAUGUGAAAGCCCCGGGCUUAACCUGGGAAUGGCAUUGGAUACUGGCGGACUAGAGUCUGGUAGAGGGUGGUGGAAUUCCCGGUGUAGCGGUGAAAUGCGUAGAUAUCGGGAGGAGCACCAGUGGCGAAGGCGGCCACCUGGACCAAGUCUGACGCUGAGGGACGAAAGCGUGGGGAGCAAACAGGAUUAGAUACCCUUGUAGUCC
RNAcentral lists this ribosomal RNA (274 nucleotides) under uncultured bacterium. Its description in RNAcentral is "partial 16S ribosomal RNA". It matches the Rfam family "Bacterial small subunit ribosomal RNA", at positions 523 to 796 of the family's 1533-position model. The record is from RNAcentral.